This 404-nucleotide ribosomal RNA is filed under the name uncultured bacterium. RNAcentral describes it as "bacterial SSU rRNA". It matches the Rfam family "Bacterial small subunit ribosomal RNA", at positions 355 to 775 of the family's 1533-position model. The record is from RNAcentral.
UAGGGAAUCUUGCGCAAUGGGCGAAAGCCUGACGCAGCAACGCCGCGUGGGGGAUGAAGGCCCUCGGGUUGUAAACCCCUUUCAGCAGGGACGAAACUGACGGUACCUGCAGAAGAAGCCCCGGCCAACUACGUGCCAGCAGCCGCGGUAAUACGUAGGGGGCGAGCGUUGUCCGGAUUCAUUGGGCGUAAAGAGCUCGUAGGCGGCUUGGCAAGUCGGGUGUGAAAUCUCUGGGCUUAACUCAGAGAGGCCACUCGAUACUGCUAUGGCUAGAGUCCGGUAGGGGACCAUGGAAUUCCUGGUGUAGCGGUGAAAUGCGCAGAUAUCAGGAGGAACACCGGUGGCGAAGGCGGUGGUCUGGGCCGGCACUGACGCUGAGGAGCGAAAGCGUGGGGAGCGAACAG